Molecule: long non-coding RNA, 9227 nt
Organism: Hemicordylus capensis (graceful crag lizard)
Lineage: Eukaryota; Metazoa; Chordata; Lepidosauria; Squamata; Cordylidae
Exons: 5
Source: RefSeq, a predicted model, not a curated record
UAGGGGGCUUCACGCCCCACAUUGCAGCGGGGGGGGGGCCAGGGCUGGGGAGGAGAGGCCCCCCUCAGGGAACUAGGGGGCUUCACGCCCCACAUUGCCCCUGCUCGGCUGCUGAGGAAGGCCAGCCACAAGCCUCUAAGGGGCAGAGAAAUGCUGUGAGGGGAGGCUGUCUCCCAGACAGGGCAAGGAAGGGCUCCGUGCCCAGCAGUGGCUUUUACCUCAGCAGUUUAGUGAGAAUAAUUCAUAAACAGGCAUGGAGGAAAAGCUGUCUCUAAGCUUGCUUCUAACCCUCUGGGGGAAGGGCUCUGUGCCCACCUUUAGCUCACAGGCAAAAAUUUUCUGAGGGGAGGCUGGCUCCAGGACAGGGCAAGGAAGGGCUCCAUGCCCAGCCUUGGCUUUUACCUCACCCAAAUAAUGAUAAUAAAUUUCUAUUGCUUCAGAAAAAGGAGGAGGAAACCACUCCAGCCAUGCUACUCAGCCAGGCUAGGGCUUUUUAAAAGAAUGCUUUGUGGGAGAGUGGUGGGAUUACGGUCUUCAAGACCCCUGCCAAAAGCCAGUUUCUGAGGGGAAGGGAAGUUUCUGAGUGGGGAGUUCAUCUCCCUGCUUUGGCUUCAUCUUGUGCAAAAAAUAAAAAUAAAUGAAAUCUAAGGGGAAAGGAAGUUUCUGAGUGGGGAGUUCAUCUCUCUGCUUUGGCUUCAUCUUGCCAAAAGAACUCAAACCCCUUCUGAGGAUGCUGCAGCCGUGCUGACGUGUGCAAAAGCCCGGCCACCUCACUGCCCACAUUUGUAGCAUUUGUCUGCCGAGGGCAACACGCCACAGAUUCUCCCCGUCCUCAGAACACUGGGGCGCCACAGUCUUCUGCAUCACGGUGAAAACCUGUCCACUCUUAGCGCGUUCUUGCUCUGUGCAGACAAAUGCUAGAACUGUGGACCGUGUAGGGCAGGACUUCUGAGCGCAACGGCACAGGGGCUGUAGCAGGAAAUUCCCUGAGGCCAGGGGCUGCUGUGUAACUACAGACUGGCCCUUUUAGUCUGAGAAAACUGGGUGCGACUUGAGGCUGUCCAAAGAAACCUGAGGCUCCUUUAUUCUCCCGACAGCUGUGUAUGGCAGCAUAAUUCCUAAGAGAGUGGCUGGCUUGAAUGGAACACCCUCCCUGCGCAUUAAAAGGCUUAGGCUUCUAGAUACUCAGAACACUUUUCUGAGGCAGCAUAAUCUCUAAUUUUCAGGCAGACUUGUAUGGAACAUGCUUCAGGCUUCUUAAUUCUCUCAAGAGAAGAGAGGGUUCUCCUUAUAUUCUCUCAAAUUCUUUUUAAUGAGUUAUAUCUUUUCAUAUUUGUGAACUGCCUAGAGCUAACUGGAAGAGGGGGUAUAGACACUUAAUGAAAGAAUGAAUAAAUAAAACAGCUGUGGGAGUCAGCAUAAUCUUUAUAGGGAAGGAUAAUCUCAAAUUUAGAACCUGUCUUUAACUGAACAUUUUUCAUGUGUGUUCUCUCCCCACAACAUCGCUUGGAGGACAAUUUAGCAAAAAGAAACGGAGUUGGUGCAUGUGUCCCUACGACCCACAGACCGGAGUGCUGCUCUUGGAGCAUUUUUUCCUCCCAAGGGGCCAACGUGGCAGGUAAGGCUCCAAAAAGAGAAUGCUAAUUGUACAGGAGAAAAUCUACCAGAAUAGAAUCCCUAGCUGUGUCAUUGCCUUUUGGGAUGAGGCUUUUCCUCAGAGGACUGAAGAAAGGGUACCUCAAAUGUUCCUCCGAUUAUAUAUUAUGGAGUAUUUUAUUUUUUCCAUUUUAUAUCCCGCUCUUCCUGCAAGGAGCCCAGAGCGGUGUACUACAGACUUAGGUUUCUUUCUCACAACAGCCCUGUGAAGUAGGCUAGGCAGAGAGAGAAGUGACUGGCCCAGAGUCACCCAGCAAGUCUCAUGGCUGAAUGGGGAUUUGAACUCUGGUCUCCCCGGUCCUAGUCCAGCUCCACUGGGAGCAAAUACAACAUGACGAACACAUCACAACACGAAACGGCAGCAUCUCUAAAAUGGUGGCUGCCUUGAAUGGAAGAGGCUUCAUGCCUCUUCAAGCAGCUUUGGGGGAAUUGCCAAGAAGAGACACAAUAGCAUAUACAGGUUGUAUUCUGCCAUUUUGAGAACACGCUUCACGCGUGUUGGGAGCUUCAAGCUUCGCAACUCUUUUCUUGGGCUGCAUACAAUCUAAGAUUGUGGUUGCCCUAAAUUGAAGUGGCUUCAAGCAGCUUUUGGGGAAUUGCCAAGAGACACAAUACCAUGUACAGGCUGUAUUCUGCUAUUUAGAGAACACGCUUCAUGCGUGUUGGGAGCUUCAAGCUUCUUUAGUCACGCAACUCUUUUCUUGGGCUGCAUACACUCUAAGAAGUUUGCUGCCUUGAAUGGAAGAGGCUUCAUGCCUCUUCCAUUGUGUCCCCUCGACAACCCUGCGUGGCAAACCGGGCCAGAGGAAACGGAGUCGGGCCAGAGGAAACGGAGUCGGCACAUGUGUCCCUACGAUCUCCAGGCCAGAGUGCAGAUCUUGGAGCAUUUGUUCCUCCCCAGGGGCCAAUGUAGCAGGUAAGGCUCCAAAAAGAGAAUGCUAAUUGUACAGGAGAAAAUCUACCAGAAUAGAAUCCCUAGCUGUGUCAUUGCCUUUUGGGAUGAGGCUUUUCCUCAGAGGACUGAAGAAAGGGUACCUCAAAUGUUCCUCCGAUAUAUAUUAUGGAUUAUUUUUUCCAUUUUAUAUCCCGCUCUUCCUCCAAGGAGCCCAGAGCGGUGUACUACAGACUUAGGUUUCUUUCUCACAACAACCCUGUGAAGUAGGUUAGGCUGAGAGAGAAGUGACUGGCCCAGAGUCACCCAGCAAGCCUCAUGGCUGAAUGGGGGUUUGAACUCCGGUCUCCCCGGUCCUAGUCCAGCUCCAUUGGGAGCACAUACAACACGACAAACACAUCACAACACCAAACGGCAGCAUCUCUAAAAUGGUGGCUGCCUUGAAUGGAAGAGGCUUCAUGCCUCUUCAAGCAGCUUUGGGGGAAUUGCCAAGAAGAGACACUAUACCAUAUACAGGUUGUAUUCUGCCAUUUUGAGAACACGCUUCACGCGUGUUGGGAGCUUCAAGCUUCGCAACUCUUUUCUUGGGCUGCAUACAAUCUAAGAUGGUGGCUGCCUUGAAUGGAAGAGGCUUCAUGCCUCUUCAAGCAGCUUUGGGGGAAUUGCCAAGAAGAGACACAAUAGCAUAUACAGGUUGUAUUCUGCCAUUUUGAGAACACGCUUCACGCGUGUUGGGAGCUUCAAGCUUCGCAACUCUUUUCUUGGGCUGCAUACAAUCUAAGAUUGUGGUUGCCCUAAAUUGAAGUGGCUUCAAGCAGCUUUUGGGGAAUUGCCAAGAGACACAAUACCAUGUACAGGUUGUAUUCUGCUAUUUAGAGAACACGCUUCACGCGUGUUGGGAGCUUCAAGCUUCGCAACUCUUUUCUUGGGCUGCAUACAAUCUAAGAUGGUGGCUGCCUUGAAUGGAAGAGGCUUCAUGCCUCUUCAAGCAGCUUUGGGAGAAUUGCCAAGAAGAGACACUAUACCAUAUACAGGUUGUAUUCUGCCAUUUUGAGAACAUGCUUCACGCGUGUUGGGAGCUUCAAGCUUCUUUAGUUCCGCAACGCUUUUCUUGGGCUGCAUACACUCUAGGAAUUUAGCUGCCUUGAACGGGAGAGACUUCAUGCCUCUUCCAUUGCGUCCCCUCGACAACCCUGCGUGGCAAACCGGGCCAGAAGAAACGGAGUUCUAUAGUCAGGGCAACUCUACAGUGGGUUUCCCAGAGUCUAUUUCUUGGCAGUUUGAUUUUGAGUUCUUGGCACAAGACAAUGGUAGCAUUUGUAUAGUUCUGGUAUGUCACAACUUUUUUUAUGUGUAGAGAAGCUUAAAGAAGGUAAUGUGCUUGGAAGAAAUUUUAUAUUCAGUGACAAGGAAGACUUAGAUGGUGUGUGGGGGGAGUGCUCAAAUGUAGCCUGCAUCACUAGUGUUUCGGUAUUUUAAAACAAUAUUCUUAUCUUUUUCACACAGCUCAUAAUUAAUCUAUGGAAUUCUCUGCCACAGGAUGUGGUGAUGGCCACCAGCUUGGAUGGCUUUGAGCAGGGUUUAGACAAAUUCAUGAACUCUUUCAGUGGCUACUAAUCUUGAUGGCUAUAUGCUAUUUCCAGGUUCAGAAGUAGGGUAUCUCCUAAUACACAAGGAGAAACCUCAGGCACUUAUUGAAAAUUUAAAAUAAAUAUUGCGCUCAUUAAAAGAGGAUAAAACAGUAACAGACUACAGAGUUCAGACUAAGUAGAGUUCUGCCUGAACGCCAUCUUGGCUCCUCCCUGGGUGCCUCCUAAUACCAGCUGCAAGGGAAGAAGAAUAGGAGAGGGAGCACACCUUCACCUCCUAGUUGUGAACUUCCUGGAAGCAUCUGAUGGGGUACUCUGGGAAACGGGAUGCUGGACUACAUGGAUUUGGGCCUGAUCUAGCAAGGAUCUUCUUAUAGUCUUGUUCUAAUAGUGAAAUGCACAAGCGGCAGGCCUGCUGGGGAUACAUGACUUUAGCUUAUUUUUUUUAGGAGGAGAGCCGGUCUUGUGGUAGCAAGCCUGACCUGUCCCCUUAGCUAAGCAGUCGGCGCAUAUGUCCCUACGAUCUCCAGGCCGGAGUGCAGCUCUGGGAGCAUUUUUUUCUCCCAAGGGGCUGCCUUGAAUGGAACACGUUUCAUGUGUGUUAGCAGCUUUGGGCGAAUUGCCAAGAACAGACAAUACGAUGUACAUGUUGUUUUCUGCCAUUGAGAGAACACGCUUCAAGCGUGUUGGGAGCUUCAAGCUUUAGUCCCGCAACUAUUUUCUUGGGUUCAGUAGUUCAACUGUAGAACUAUUUUCUACACUCAUGCCUCUGGUGGCUGCCUUGAAUGGAAGAGGCUUCAUGCCUCUUCAAGCAGCUUUGGGGGAAUUGCCAGGAAGAGACAAUACGAUGUACACUUUGUAUUCUGCCAUUUAGAGAACACGCUUCAUGCGUGUCGGGAGCUUCAAGCUUCUUUAGUCCCGCAACUCUUUUCUUGGGCUGCAUACACUCUAAGGUGGUGGUUGCCUUGAAUGGAAGAGGCUUCAUGCCUCUUCCAUUGUGUCCCCUCGACAACCCUGCGUGGCAAAUCGGGCCAGAAGAUACGGAGUCGGCGCAUGUGUCCCUAUGACCUCCAGGCCGGAGUGCAGCUCUUGGAGCAUUUUCUCCUCCCAAGGGGCCAACGUGGCAGGUAAGCCUCAAAGAUACUGACUGGGCCAAGCUAAAGAGAAAACCAUAUAUGACAAAAAGAAUUCUCAACAUGUGAGACCAUAUAACAGAAAAAAUCUCAAGCUCUACCAGCACCUUCUAAGAUAAGGCUCUUCAUCAGGACUGGAGAAUAUAUAUACAAACCACAUUGAUAGUCACAAGAUAAUAUAAAACUGAAACAACUGUUUAAAGUAUGUUAUUCCAGAACUCUUAUAUGUUCUCAUUAGGCCAUCUUUACAUAUUAGAAGAUAAGCAUGUAAUAUUGCCAAAACUUCAAAAUAAAAUGCCUAGUUUCUUUCCCAACAGAUUUCACAAAAGGCGGCAACCACACACAAGCCAAGGAAGGAGGAAAAGAGUCUCUUGGAAGAACCAAGAGGCAGCGACACAGAAGCCACAAAGGAAUUAGGGUUUGGCUAUCUAUGACGAUGCACAAGAUAGCCAAAGCAAGGGCUGUGUUCCUCACUGCCCUGAAUGCUCUGUCAAUCCAGGGGCCAUCAGUAGAAACUUCAGGCUGCUUUGUUCUCUCACCACCUGUGGAAGGCAGCAUGAUCUCUCAUUCUGUGGCUGCCUGGAAUGAAACACGCUUCAUGUAUGUUACAAGCUUCAGGCGUCUUUAUUCUCCCAACAGCCUUGUCAAGCUGGAUAUCCUCUAAGAUGGAGACUGCCUUUAACAGGACACACUUCAUGUGUGCUGCAUGCUCAGCAGCCCUUUGUGCCAUGUUUGGAAAGAAGAAACAGAGUUGGCACACAUUUGCAAUGACCUCCAUGCCGGAGUGGGGAUUUUGGAAUGUUUUUUCCUCCCAAGAGGCCUGUGUGGGAGGCAGGAUCAAAGACGGGCUGGACCAAGUGGGUUUCAAGAAAGAGCACAAGGAAUGAGGAGGACACAGAGGACAAGACAAGCUGACCUGAUCAAUCUUGUGACGAGGAGGCGCAUUGUCCGAGAAUUGAACAGAUUUCAGGAAAGAGCUGAAGGAGCGAGGACAAGACAAGCUGUCUCAAUCUCUUUCGUGAUGAGGCUUCAUCAGAGAACUGAAGAACAUAUACAAAAUAUAAAGAUGUAUACAAAUACUGAGCAUACUUAUUUAUUACAUACCGAUUGUCACAGGAGAAUAGAAAAAUGAAACUCUGAAAAUGUAUUACUCAGGAAAUCUAAGGUGUCAUCCUUCAUAAAUGCCUCAUACUCUAACAUCAUGUGGAUUUGCUCACACUUCAAAUAAAUUAUGUAACUUGUUCUUUCCCAAAGGAUUUCAAAAACAGACCAGUGGAGGCGACAAGAAACAAGCCACGCCAAGCAAAACUGCAUUACCCUUUUAGGUCUUUUUUUCAGAUUGGUCUCAAAACGAGUGGCUGGCUGCUGCAAAUAGAGGCUUCAAGCGAGAGUUGAUUUUGUCCUUGACCCUGUGAGGUUUUUUCACCCGUCAGGCAUCCUUUUUCACUUGACACAGAUGGGUAGACUAGUGGAUUUUCUGAGCCCUGAUUCUAAACUUGGAUUGGAGAAAAAUGGAAUUUUUUCUUGGUGCAGAUCUCCUGACCUAGCUGCUUUGCGUGAGUAUUUGUUCAGUGAAUCUGAAAAAACUAUUAUUGUGAUGUUUGAAACUAACAUUUAACACAUUUGUUAAAGAUUUGUGGUAAUGUUUUAUUUUGAAACAUGAAUUAUUUGAAAUGAUGAAAGAAUGUUAAUAUGCCCAUAUAUUCUCUUUUUACCCAGCAGGUUGACUUGUAUACAGUGCCAUGUGGAUGGUGCAUAAAUCCCUGCCAAGGAGGAUAUUGCAAGAAAUCGGAAAUGUAUAAAAGUGGCUACUGUCAGAGGGGUAUAUAUUAACCUAUGUCUAGAUAUGCUUUUGAUUUUCUUUUCCCCUAGCAAUCAAUCAAUGUAUCUAUAGACCAGAAAAAUUUCCCCUACCAGACUGAUUUACAUAGACGGCCAUGUGGAUUGUGGGUAAAUCCCUACUUAGGAGGUUAUUUGAAGAAAUCCAAAGUGUAUAAAAGUGGCUGAUAUCAAAGAGAUGUGGGCUUGUGAGGAGGAAUGUCACUGUGAACCACACGCUUCAAGGAAGGGCUUUUUGAACCAGGAUGCAGCCUGCAGCUACGCUUAGGAACAUGGCAGCUGGCAAAAGUGGUGCUGCAACCCCUUCUGUGCUGCUGACACACAAGAGAAAAACCUUCUUUCCAUCCUGGGCCUUUUGCCCAAGAAAUCUCAAGAACCUAGAAAUUUAUGUGCAAAGCAUUUCUAAAUGGAAGAAGUGAAAACCCCACCAGCUCUUUACUCACUAAAUACUUUUUGUUGCCUCUGUGUAUCUCUUGUUGGACUCCCCUUGAAGCUAAAGAUGUGAAGUGCCAUUUGUACCCUGGGUCUCUCACCAAACAACUCUCAAGCCUGCAAAGUUUCUUGGCAAAGCAAAGCGUCUCUAGUUGGAAGAAGUGACAGCCCCAGAAGUCACCAAUCCUGAUGUUUCACUUUGGGAAACUUGAGUGAAAUGUUAGUUGGCCUUAUUGUCUAAUCUUACUCUUGAUUACUUCUUUUUAGGCAAAUAAGAUAAUAAUUUGCCUUGGUACUGAACUUUUAUCUUGAAUGGCACAAGGAGGGCGAGUAGGAGAUUGGGGCUGAAUAUGAAAAGAAUUUCUAAUUUCAACCCAUUGCUCUAAUUGUUAUUGCUCUCCGGAUAAAGGACACUGCUAAAGGAAGAGUUUAAUAAGGAUAUAAAGGAGUCUAGUAAGGAUUAAAGAACUAAUUCCUAUGCUUUGGCACAUUAUACUCCCCCACCCCACUUUAUAAGCAUGUAAUAUGCUUAGUAAGAUAUCUGGAUGGGAGCGGGGGUGGGGGGGGGAGAGCCCUGAACGUAAACAUUUAGUAGCUCUUUCAUGCUUUCUUCACAUUUGUAACUGGAUUCACUUACUCCCUAGUUCUGGGAGAGAGGGAACAUUGGUUUUGGUUCUCCUCACUCUUUUGUAGAAUUCUGUUUAACAUUGUCUUAGUUGGUUUAACCUGGUUACUUUUCUCUCUCACCUUUUUGGUGGUGAUUUGGAGGAUGGGGAGGGAAGGAUAGUUCCUGGGUUUAGUUAUGAAUGUAUUUCAAUGCUAACAGUUUCUGCCAAAGAUGAUGUAUUUCGACUCAAGGCCUAUGAUAUAACAUUAGUCCAAUUGGUUAUAGCACUUGCAGUUGUUGACAUGGGUAAUCUGUCCUUUAAAGAUGGGUGAUUUAAAUAUUUUUUCAGUUAAUUGUAAUGGCUUAGUUUCUUAUCAAACAUUCUAAGGUGUUUAAAACAAAGGACAGAUAUAAUUUUUCUUCAAGAAACACGUACUAAAAGAGGAACAACAACAUUGUUUAGUUUAAUUAUCCUCAUCAGGGAUAGCAGCUGGAAGCUCUAAGUCCAAAGGAACUGCCACAUUGUUUUCCCCAAAUUGCUGAUUUACACCCUUGAAAGACUAUAAAGAUUCUUUUGGUCAGUUUGUAUAUAUUGAGGGCACAUUUUUGGAUAAACCCUUGUUACUGUGUUCCAUAUAUGCCCCAAAUACUCUGUCACUGAAAAUCUCUUUUAAAAACUUCAAAGUAUUAAGAUUCAGGUUUGGAUAAAUGGGUGUGGUUUUAACUUAACCAUAAACCCUGCUUUGGAUAGGUCAGCCUCCAAGUAUACUCCCAAUAUUUCUACUUCUAAGUUCCCUAUAGCAUAUCUCUCUAAGGAAGCUAAUUUGGUAGUUCCUUGGCAGUUGUUACACCCAGGGGAAGGGGAUUACACAUUCUUGUCUGCCAGACAUGAAACUUGUUCUAGGAUUGAUUAUGUUCUCAUCUCCAGUUCCCUACAGAAUGAUAUUCAAGAUGCUAUUAGUGAUAAAAUUUGGACAGAUCACAAUUGGAUAAUAUGCUCAUUAAGUUUUGAAAGUUCUAAUAACCCAAUUUCUUGGUUGAAAACUUAUUUAUUAUACAAUAAAGAUAUAUGCAAAACA